UAAUGGUUCGACAAUGGGGCUUUCUCCUCUUUUGCUUGGCAAUUCUCCUUUCUGCUUCCAUGUGAAGAAGGACACAUUUGCUUCCCUUUUUGCCAGAGUUGUAAGUUUCCUGAGGUCUCCCCAGCUAUGCUAAACUAUAUGUGCAUGGCUGUUUUUCUUUCAGCACAGACAUCACCUCCUAAGAAAGGCAUUCCGUGCCAGACUGAGAGACAUGAGAAAUACCUCAAAGUGAUACGAAGUUGAUAGACCCCUGCCACACAAAUACAACACUGAAGAUGGAUUUUCAUCAAACGUGGAGGAACAGAAGAUGCCAAGAUGAUACAAUAUGGUAUCUGCCCAUGAAGAGAUUUUAUUCUAUAGAAGAGAAAGUCAUAUCCGGCAUCUCACAUGAUGAGACAACAUGAGAGAGUUUUAAAAUCAAGUUAUUCUACUGUCCUUGUUUUUGUCUCCUCACUUGACUUUGGGCUUCCCUAAGUACUCUUGUUCAAAAGUCUGGA
This 497-nucleotide long non-coding RNA is filed under the name Homo sapiens (human). RNAcentral's name for it is "HSALNT0297176". Lineage: Eukaryota; Metazoa; Chordata; Mammalia; Primates; Hominidae. The record is from RNAcentral.